GCACUAAGAAAAUUAAUAUUCUUUAUUUAUUUAUGUUUUUAUAUGACGAUUACUUUUAAGUCCGUCUUUAUAUUAGAUGUUAGAUCUUUAUGCCGAAAAUAUUUUUUAUUGUAACUCACCUUAAAUUCUUACAUAUUAGCUGCACUUUGAUUUGUAAUUACCUUAAAGUAAAGUUUAAGAACCCGCCUGUAGGCGAGUUCAAGACAACGGUAUACAAGCUUUAAUAAGGUAAGUAGUAUUUUCUUGGUGGCUGUCAAUUAUAUGGUAAGUUCCCCUAAUGUAUUUUCUCAGCCGCCAUAAUAUUUAAGUUUAUGUCUUAUAAGUAACAUUAUUCCUUGUUAUAUAAAAUGUAAUCUCCGUAUAGCUGGGUCUCUAAUCCAGGUUUAUUUGUUAGAGUUUGGUUCGUGACAAAACGGAAAAAAUUAGAAUAGUUAAUAGCAUUUCACUGCAUAAUAACUCCUUAUAGUUUAAAUAUGCGAAGUAGCACUCAUAUAACAAUUACUUUAGGUUUACUUAUUAGGUUUGACCGCGGUUGCUGGCACCUAAUUAACCUAAAUUAUAUAGUUAUCUAAAUCUAAUUUUCAUUAAAAUUUUAAAAUUUUUAACUGGACUAUUCUAUUAGUAUUCCAUAUUAAGUUAGACUAUGAACCUAUAGCUCCAUCAUAUUAAAGUGGUAAAGUCUAUGGGGGAAUAUACCAUUUUAGA
RNAcentral lists this ribosomal RNA (705 nucleotides) under Montenegrina skipetarica voidomatis. Its description in RNAcentral is "partial 12S ribosomal RNA". Lineage: Eukaryota; Metazoa; Mollusca; Gastropoda; Stylommatophora; Clausiliidae. The record is from RNAcentral.